GCCGAAGUCCCAACGGCAAUACUUCAACGCCUAAAAGCCACGGAGGAAAGGAAAACACCGCACAUCAGCCCAGACUAGCGUCCAAAGGGGGUAAUUGAGUUUCGGUGAGCCCACAUACGUUCCAACAUCCUCGCCAGACGUGCUGGUUCCCAUUUCAUGGCCUCCAACAUGCUCUGUUGAUGAUCGAAUCCCUCUUCAGCACGAAUAUCAUU
This 212-nucleotide long non-coding RNA is filed under the name Volvox carteri. RNAcentral's name for it is "long non-coding RNA (VCAR_LNC002706)". The record is from RNAcentral. Lineage: Eukaryota; Viridiplantae; Chlorophyta; Chlorophyceae; Chlamydomonadales; Volvocaceae.